This 2325-nucleotide long non-coding RNA is filed under the name Gallus gallus (chicken). Its description in RNAcentral is "lncRNA (ENSGALG00010028688.1)". The record is from RNAcentral. Lineage: Eukaryota; Metazoa; Chordata; Aves; Galliformes; Phasianidae.
GCAUUUUCCAGUCCGUGGCACCUUGAUCCCAGGAUGUGCUCCGCACCGUGCUUCUAGGGCAUCAACAUCUGCUGUUGCACAAAGGCCCCUGAAAGGAAAAGCACCCUCGCACGUUUGCACUGCUCCCACACUCCCCAGAACUGUCUCUCAAAUCUCCCGUUAACACAGACUCUCUCAGACUCUUGACUGCAGCCCAAUAGCACAGCAUCCCCUCUCUCACUUCAUGAGCCAAGAGGCCAUAGUUGGUGUCCCUUUUUAAGCUUCACAGACCCAAUCAGGCAAGAACUUCGGUUUGCCCAUCCUGCAGCCAGGAAUGCUCCAACCUGAGGGGGGAGUGGCCGUGAGAGCAACGUCUCUGUGCACGUGCAGCUCGUUCCUCCCCUCUGACAGGGGCAGAAGGAGUGAGGCAACAGACAAAAGCAGAAAGCGUCUGCAUAUCCCUCGUGGCUCUUAUUUCCUGCCUUACGCUGGGAAACGAGCUGAGCCGCUGGGCCUCUCCGUUAUGCUUAGCUCUGCAGCUCGGACAUCAUUACACUCAGCUGUUCCUGGGCAUAAUGCUCCACACAACGACCCUGCAGAGCCCAAAGGCCUGCCUGCCUGCCUGCUGUCACUCACCUGGAGGUUGCAGGGUGCUGUGCCUCCUGGCUGGACCUGCUGCUGCUAGCUGUCACUUGCAAGACACUGAGAGUCCACCUGCUUGGAACUGCAGGCAACAAACACAAACGAGAAAGAAGGAAGAAAGGAUUCUUGGAUUGCACAGGCUUCAUUAAAACACGUUCUGCUGUGGAGCACAGCUGCAAGCAUUUCACCUGGGCAAAAAAGGGGUGGAGCCUGGCUCCAGCCCUCCCCACCCUCAUUUCAGGGCUGCCUGUCUAAGGGGAAGAAUCUCUACUGGGAGAUCUGCUCUGUGCUAAUACUUUCUGAGUCCUGUUCUUCAGAAAGGGCUCUUUGUUUACUAGCUUGAGUCCUUCCCCAUACUUAGAAAAAUUAAAACACAGGAAAGCAGCUGGAUCACCUACUGCCUUUCACUACAGUUACCAUUUCAGAUUAUGGAUCAAGGUUGAACUGUACAGAGGGAGUGCAGCCACAAGGCUCUGGCUGUGCCGGGCCUCCCACCAGCCCGGGCCCCAAAGCAGCCCCAGCUGUGCCUGGUCCUCCUCCAUCCUGUGCCCCAAGUCCUUGGCUGUGCCUGGGCCCCCUUUGGACUGAGCCCCGAGUAGGCCCCAACUGCGCUAGGUCCUCCUCCAGCCUGGGCCCCAAAGCAGCCCCAUCUGAGCCUGGUCCUCUUCGAUACCGGGCCCCAAAGCAGCCCAAAUCGUGCCAGGCCGUCGACCGGCCUGGGCCCCAAAGCAGCCCCAACUGUUGCUGGUCCUUCUCCAUCCUGUGCCCCAAGGCCCUGGCUGGGCUUGAGCCCCCUUUUGUCUGGGCCCAGACGAGGCCUCAACUGUGCCAGGCCGUCCUCCAUCCUGGGCCCCAAAGCAGCCCCAACUGUGCCAGGUCCAUCUCCAUCCUGGGCCCCAAAGCAGCCCCAACUGUUGCUGGUCCAUCUCCAUCCUGGGCCCCAAAGCAGCCCCAACUGUUGCUGGUCCUCCUCUAUCCUAAGCCCCACGGCUAGGGUUGUGCCGGGGCCCCCUGUGCUCUGGGCCAAGAGGAGGCCCCAACUGUGCCAGGCACCCCUCCAGUCCAGGCCCCAAAGCAGCCCCACCUGUGCCAGGCCCAUCUCCAUCCUGGGCCCCAAAGCAGCCCCAACUGUUCCUGGUCCUCCUCCAUCCUAGGCCCCAAGGCCCGAACUGUUCUUGGGCCCCUUUUUGUCUGGGCCCAGAGGAGGCCUCAACUGUGCCAGGCCCCCCUCCAGCCUAGGCACCAAAGCAGCCCCAACUGUGCCUGGUCCUGUUUCAUCCUGGGCCCCAAGGCCCUGGCUGUGCCUGGGCCCUUUUUGGUCUGGGCCAAGAGCAGGCCUCAACUGUGCCUGGUCCUUCUCUAGCCCAGGCCCCAAAGCAGCCCCAACUGUGCUAUGCCCCCCUCCAGCUCAGGCACCAAAGCAGCCCCAACUGUGCCUGGUCCUCCUCCAUCCUGGGCCCCAACACAGCCCCAACUGAGCCUGGUUCUCCUCCAUCCUGGGCCCCGAGGCUCUACCUGUGCCUGGGUCCCCUUCCUUCUGGGCCCACACCAGGCCUCAACUGUGCCAGGCCCCCUCCAGCCUGGGCCCCGAGGCCACCACUGUGCUGCACCACCCUCCGGCACAGGCCCUGCCCCAAGCCCUGCCCCCUGUGGACAGCUCUGCUCUUUGCCUGCUUGUUUUUUUUCCUCUCUUCACUCUGCCAG